Non-coding RNA from Triticum aestivum (bread wheat), 135 nucleotides. The record is from Rfam. NCBI's taxonomy places the organism in Eukaryota, Viridiplantae, Streptophyta, Magnoliopsida, Poales, Poaceae.
UAUAUACUCCCUCCGUCCCGAAAUUCUUGUAUUAGAUUUGUCUAGAUACAGAUGUAUCUAAUACUAAAACGUGACUUGAUACAUCCGUAUCUAGACAAAUUUAAGACAAGAAUUUUGGGACGGAGGGAGUAUAUC